AUGCUCGAUUCAUUUGGCGGCACAUAUCCUAAAAUUGAAACAAUAUAGAGAAGAUUAGCAUGGCCCCUGCACAAGGAUGACAUGCAAAUUUGUGAAGCGUUCCAUAUUAAA
RNAcentral lists this small nuclear RNA (111 nucleotides) under Moschus moschiferus (Siberian musk deer). Lineage: Eukaryota; Metazoa; Chordata; Mammalia; Artiodactyla; Moschidae. The record is from RNAcentral.